Molecule: ribosomal RNA, 253 nt
Filed under: uncultured bacterium
Lineage: Bacteria
Description: partial 16S ribosomal RNA
Rfam family: Bacterial small subunit ribosomal RNA
Source: RNAcentral
UACGUAGGGUGCGAGCGUUGUCCGGAAUUACUGGGCGUAAAGGGCGCGUAGGCGGCCUACUAAGUCGGACGUGAAAUCCCUCGGCUCAACCGAGGAACUGCGUCCGAUACUGGCAGGCUGGAAUCCGGGAGAGGGAUGUGGAAUUCCAGGUGUAGCGGUGAAAUGCGUAGAUAUCUGGAGGAACACCGGUGGCGAAGGCGGCAUCCUGGACCGGUAUUGACGCUGAGGCGCGAAAGCUAGGGGAGCAAACGGG